Molecule: ribosomal RNA, 274 nt
Filed under: uncultured bacterium
Lineage: Bacteria
Description: partial 16S ribosomal RNA
Rfam family: Bacterial small subunit ribosomal RNA
Source: RNAcentral
AUACAGAGGGUGCAAGCGUUAAUCGGAAUUACUGGGCGGAAAGCGCGCGUAGGUGGUCUGUUAAGUCGGAUGUGAAAGCCCCGGGCUUAACCUGGGAAUUGCAUUCGAUACUGGCAGACUUGAAUACGGGAGAGGGAGGUAGAAUUCCACGUGUAGCGGUGAAAUGCGUAGAUAUGUGGAGGAAUACCAGUGGCGAAGGCGGCCUCCUGGCCUGAUAUUGACACUGAGGUGCGAAAGCGUGGGGAGCAAACAGGAUUAGAAACCCCAGUAGUCC